CAAAAUGGGGAUGUAAGGUCUUCCAUGAGACCAUGUGCAGAGUUUAGAAGCAUUUUGGUUGAACGGGACGCUUUUACAUCACUGGUGAAGGAUAUCUAUUAGCAUUAAGCAACCUUAAGAAGGCUCCUUUGCAAUCUGCAUUUGCGAGUCCAACACAUCCUAACCCAGGCGGUGGAGGAGAAACAUAUGCAGAAACAGAAAUAAAUAUAUGUUUUUUUAGCAAGAUUAAUAAGUUGGCUGCCGUCAGGAUUAAUGGUAUGGUUGAGAGACUACAAUUGUCUCAACAGAUUAGGGAGAAUUUAUAUCAUCUUUUUCAGCAAAUACUGAACCAGCGGACUUCUCUGUUCUUUAACCGUCAUAUUGACCAGAUCAUCCUUUGUUGUUUCUACGUAGUUGCAAAGAUUUCUCAUUUGCGCUUGACUUUCAAAGAAAUCAUUUGCAACUAUAGGAAGCAACCACAAUGUAAACCUCAGGUUUUCCAAAGUGUAUUUAUUGACAGGUCAUCUGCACGACCAACAGGGGUAUAUUCGGCCACAACUUAGGAGCUAAAUUGGAGCUAAAUGGAUAAAGCAAAGGCAAGGAAACUUACAUGGGGACGUUUAGGAGAGCACAUGGAACUGUCCGGAGACCCGUGAGCUCAUAGUUGGAUUGAGUUAAAUAUUUGAGUUACAAGAUGAUUUCAAUUCAGUUGGAGAGUUGCACCAUCAUCAUCACUACUUAGGACACUUCAAAUAUGUCUCGAGUCAAAAUUUGUGAAAUCGUACCUUUUCGCGAAUAGUUGCCACCUCAAAAAAUAUCUUUUCACAAAGAGCUGUCAUAAUGUUCAUCAUGCUACAACUCACCUAUGACCAGCUCACCUCCAGCUCAUUCAUCUUA
Hibiscus syriacus is the source of this 876-nucleotide long non-coding RNA. RefSeq lists it as uncharacterized. The transcript is spliced from 5 exons. The record is from RefSeq and is a predicted model, not a curated record. NCBI's taxonomy places the organism in Eukaryota, Viridiplantae, Streptophyta, Magnoliopsida, Malvales, Malvaceae.